RNAcentral lists this ribosomal RNA (467 nucleotides) under uncultured bacterium. RNAcentral describes it as "partial 16S ribosomal RNA". It matches the Rfam family "Bacterial small subunit ribosomal RNA", at positions 28 to 507 of the family's 1533-position model. The record is from RNAcentral.
GAUGAACGCUGGCGGCGUGCUUAACACAUGCAAGUCGAACGAUGAUGCCCAGCUUGCUGGGUGGAUUAGUGGCGAACGGGUGAGUAACACGUGAGUAACCUGCCCUUGACUCUGGGAUAAGCCUGGGAAACUGGGUCUAAUACCGGAUACGACCAUCUGGCGCAUGUCAUGGUGGUGGAAAGCUUUUGUGGUUUUGGAUGGACUCGCGGCCUAUCAGCUUGUUGGUGGGGUAAUGGCCUACCAAGGCGACGACGGGUAGCCGGCCUGAGAGGGUGACCGGCCACACUGGGACUGAGACACGGCCCAGACUCCUACGGGAGGCAGCAGUGGGGAAUAUUGCACAAUGGGCGCAAGCCUGAUGCAGCGACGCCGCGUGAGGGAUGACGGCCUUCGGGUUGUAAACCUCUUUCAGUAGGGAAGAAGCGAAAGUGACGGUACCUGCAGAAGAAGCCCCGGCUAACUACGUG